This 620-nucleotide unclassified non-coding RNA is filed under the name Trichoderma trixiae. Its description in RNAcentral is "sequence contains 18S rRNA gene, ITS1, 5.8S rRNA gene, ITS2, 28S rRNA gene". The stretch from base 230 to 383 matches the Rfam family "5.8S ribosomal RNA". Lineage: Eukaryota; Fungi; Ascomycota; Sordariomycetes; Hypocreales; Hypocreaceae. The record is from RNAcentral.
AGUCGUAACAAGGUCUCCGUUGGUGAACCAGCGGAGGGAUCAUUACCGAGUUUACAACUCCCAAACCCAAUGUGAACCAUACCAAACUGUUGCCUCGGCGGGGUCACGCCCCGGGUGCGUCGCAGCCCCGGAACCAGGCGCCCGCCGGAGGGACCAACCAAACUCUUUCUGUAGUCCCCUCGCGGACGUUAUUUCUUACAGCUCUGAGCAAAAAUUCAAAAUGAAUCAAAACUUUCAACAACGGAUCUCUUGGUUCUGGCAUCGAUGAAGAACGCAGCGAAAUGCGAUAAGUAAUGUGAAUUGCAGAAUUCAGUGAAUCAUCGAAUCUUUGAACGCACAUUGCGCCCGCCAGUAUUCUGGCGGGCAUGCCUGUCCGAGCGUCAUUUCAACCCUCGAACCCCUCCGGGGGUCCGGCGUUGGGGAUCGGGAACCCCUAAGACGGGAUCCCGGCCCCGAAAUACAGUGGCGGUCUCGCCGCAGCCUCUCAUGCGCAGUAGUUUGCACAACUCGCACCGGGAGCGCGGCGCGUCCACGUCCGUAAAACACCCAACUUCUGAAAUGUUGACCUCGGAUCAGGUAGGAAUACCCGCUGAACUUAAGCAUAUCAAUAAGCGGAGGAA